Trachemys scripta elegans is the source of this 3515-nucleotide long non-coding RNA. RefSeq lists it as uncharacterized. The transcript has 8 exons. Lineage: Eukaryota; Metazoa; Chordata; Testudines; Emydidae. The record is from RefSeq and is a predicted model, not a curated record.
CGUUGCGGGUGGAAACAUAAGCUCGCCUUGAAGGCAGCUGCGAAAACGGUUUACGUUUUAGGACAACGCAGAAGGGAAAGUUCUCCUCAAGUGGCCACUCGGCUUGGAACGGGGAGAGAUCUGAGAGCUGUGCAGCCACAGAAACUAACCCUGGCUAGCAGGGACUUAUACAUGUUAAUGAAGGAAACUCUGCCGGGUAAAUUACUUAAUGUGUCUGCCUACGCUUCACCAUCUAGUCAAAGAUGGUUCAUGUUCCGAAAUGGUUUGUGCCACCUUGGCUCUGCCUGGAUUCUGCGCUGCUGCACAGUUCACCUGCCCCUGGCACAAGUCAGAGCAUCUCCGUAGCACUGAUUAUCACCUUGAACAUUUCCCAUCCCUUACAUUAGUCUGUGUGCACCUACCGAGCAGGUUUAGUUGAGCCCAAACUUGUAGGUAAGAUUCCAAGACUUUAGUGUAUCAGAAGGAGAGGCAGGUCUGCAGAGAAGGUUUUGUGGCAAAGGUACUGGACAAGGACUUAAGAAGUCUGGAUUUUGGUUUCAACUCUGCUAUAGCUAGUAAGGUGUAGCUUUGGGCAAGUCAAUCUGUCUGUGCCUCACUUUCCCAUCUGUAAAAUGGUGAUUUAAAAGAGUUUCCUGCCUCAGUGGGUGUUGUAUGGAUAUCUUCAUUCAUGUUUACGAGGUGCUCAGAAAGGAAUAUGUAAAAGGAUGCCAAACUCUUUAUCCUGUGAAGAGUGAUGCAGACAAAGUGCCAGCUAUUCAGCAGUGACUCUGCAAUUAAAGGGCUAUGAAUACACGACUUUCAGGUCCUGGAAAGAAGCCCUUCUGCAUGAUUACAGUUCUGAUAUCACAUUGCAUGUAACUUGACUCUCAGAGAAUUUUGGUUUCUAUAUCAUGGAACACUAGGAUCCCUGAAUAUUGCUCUUCAGUUAGCCAUGGGAGUCACUAAAGAGUAAGGUCUGAAGAACUCCCUCUCCUAAAAAACAAUCAAGAGUUGAAUGCUUUGGAUCCAGUGUUCCUAAAUCUUGCUGAUCAGUUAGGACUGACCUAGAAUCUCAAGGCCAAAUUGAAGAGAGUGGAGUAUGCUAUCUUGCAGAAUGAGUAGAAACCUCAGGCCAAGGAACCAGAAUAUUUCCUGUUUUUCCAGGAUCAUCAUGCAGAGCUUUGUCAUCUUGAAGCACUGCCUGAUCAAGGUGGUUUAGGUACCCUUCUUACAACAUUCAUGCAGGAGCUUCAGCCCUGAUUCAGUGAUGGACAAGUACAUUUUUAAGUGCUUUUCUGAACCAGUGCCUUAUUUUCCAAUGUCUUAUCUAGUAUUGUAACAGACAUUAGAUUUCCUGGCUCCUCAUAUUUUUAGCAGCUCCAUAAGCAAAGUUUCCUCUUGCUUUUUAUUAACAGGUGACCUAAGGUAUGAUAUCUUGGUCAACAGGAGAGAGUUGAAACCUCAGUUAAGUCUCUAAACCUGGCUGGAAAAAUCCAUCAAAACAAUUUUAAUAGGACCUGCAUAAAGUUACUUAGAUGUCCCAGAUUUUCAGUUCAUCUAUGUGAAAGGGGCUGUCUACUCAAAAUUCACUGAAAGCUGCUCUGAGGUUUUGAAUGUAAGCAAAGAUGGUCAACAGGCAGAAUGCAGAACUACCACAUUCCACAGACAGUACUUUUACCAUGGCUGGCUGUUUGUAUGUAAGUAAACCAAAGGUUAAGAUAGGUUCAAGAGCAAGAUUUUCUUUACAGGUAACGUCUAGCCUAUAAAUCCUGGGUAAAAUUUUCAAAAGUGCCUAAGAGAAUAUCUUAGACAUGAGAAUAUCGUAAAGAAAACAAUUCAAAUACAAAAGCAUCUAACAGCAUAUGGGACAGCCUAUCUCACCACCUGGCAGUUGAAUUUAAAAGGACUGGUAGCUUGAUUUUUCAAUUUUGAAUACCCUUGGCUUCAUGGUUUUGGGGAUCAAUGUGAAAAUCUCAUGCGGUGACCCCAUGGCUUCUUUAACUUGGGUUGUGGUAAAGUGAACGAGAAGGAGAACAUCACGAGUGAUCUGGUGUGGCAUAUAGAAGAAUGCACAUAUUGAUAUUUGAGAUCCUUCUCUGAGAGUUCCAGGUAUUAAGACAGCCUGACAACAAAUCAAGCUUAAUAAACAGUCCAUUUUUUGUACAGUAUAUUAACAAAACUGAAGGUAGUCUGUUAGUAUAGAACUACAUCAGGAAAAUAUGAAAUUAUAGCUGCUGCCUUAGCUUCCAGCACCUGGGACAAAAUAUGACUUCUGAUGCUUAUUAACAUAAAAAUAAGCAGCAUCCUCAUACUCUCCCAGAUACAGUUUAAUAGCUGCAGUUGAAAGUUGACACAUCAUUCAAACCAUAUGGAGAAAGACAUGUUAACUUAAUAGUACAUUCAAACUGUUUAAAGUUGUUUCAGGAUAUAUUUUUACUGCAGAAUUAACGUGGGUUCUUAUUUGGGUGUUGUCCCUAACUUUGCUCCCACCCACACAUAAAAACCUCUGUCCUGAGUUUGGGCGUGAUUUUAAUCCAGACUAACCAUCUUAUCUGGGGCUAUAGGCUAAAGCCCAAGUGCUGCUUUCACUCGAACUAGUAACCUGCACACUUUGCAGCGAGGAUGCAGGCUAAAUCACUUGAAUGUUGACAGUCCUCCGAUGCAUCCUACAAUUCCCCCCAUGAAUGCAGAAGGACAGACAAGUUAUCCCACUAUUUAUCAGAAAUAAAUUAUACAGUGACGCACCUUACUAAAAACCACUGGAUAUAUCCAGCAGUCCUAGCAACAAACACAAGUAAGUGCAUCUAUUAAUAGUAAGGACAGAGUAACUAGUGGCUGCUCACAACCCGGGGUAGGAAAACCCAAUGCUCAGAUUUGGGAGCUGAUCACAUGUGCUUAAACUGAAAGCUGUUCAUACACCUCACAGAAUAAAAAGGUUUAGUGGCCAACAGCUGAUCCAGAUGCUGUCAUAGUUAUGGAAUACAAACUACAAAUAUUAUUAGAAAAAAAGCCCUGCCUUUCCAUUCAGCAUGAUAAUUAAAUGAGGGAAAAAUUAUCCAUUGAAGAAAAGUGUUCUAUUCAGCAAUUCUGGUUUAGUAUAGGGUAUCUUUUGGACUAUAACACAUACUAGAGGAAAAAAUCAGACCUAAGUUUCAAAAUAAAUAUGAUUUUCUUACUGGGAUAAUUUCUAUACCAGGGAUAAAACCCCAACUCCUAUCUUGCAGAUACACAUUUUUACUAUAAACUAAAAUGUCAGUUACUCUACUAGUGAUAGUUUUGCCCUCAUUUGGAAGAGCCCUAUAAGUUAAGUACUUUUCAUUUUUAUAUACUGAAAUAUUGUAUGAACAUAUUGUGACGAACUCAAAUGUUAUAAGUCUGUAAAUAUUUUCUACCUCAUCCUUGGCUGAUAAAAUAUGGUGUUUUUCAAAAGUGCUGGGCAACCAGCAGCUCUCAUUGACAUAAAUAGGGAAAAUGAAUAUAGAUGACAUAGCAUAAGAAGUUAUAGAACAAUCUAAGUACCAAACAUUAUUAAAAGA